UGCCCCAGCAGGAGACUCCUAAGGAAGUUCAGUUCCUCCGGGACUAUGAUUUCAGCAGCCCGAUGGCUAAAGGGAAGGACACAAGUGUUUCUCCUUAGAGUAGAUUCCCUCCUGCUAGGUGGUUACACCUGCAGAACAAGGAAACUGCAUCUCAAAGUGACCCCUCUAUCCUAAGGGGGCACCAGAUGCUGCUCCAGAUGUGCUGCCUGUAGGCUGCCUGCCUCCUCUCUUCAGGCUUGCUGCCAAAGGCACCUGGCUGGGCUACCUUGUCCAGCUCCCAAGACUUCCAUCACGACUCCCCUCCUAUCUUGGGAAGUCGAAGUCCUGCUCACCUUGAAGACUCCUUGAAGACUUCGGUUUCCCUGGAAGCAUCUACUAGCAUGGAAUGCGUAAACAGGUCAUGAAGUACCCUGCUGAAGGAAGUUGGGGAGGGACUAAGCAGAUGACUGUGCCUGCGCCUGGACAACCUCCAGCUUUUCGAGUGAAGUGCCAAGUGUUAACUUACAGUCUGCCAUGGCAGGAAAGUCAUUACAGUUGGAACUAGAGGCAUUCAGCCACAUUGGAUCUGCCAUUAGGAAGCAAACUGAGAUGAAUGUGGCUUUCUCCUUUCUGGGACCUGGAUUGUAUAAGAAAGCAAGCUGAACAAGCAAGGAGAA
RNAcentral lists this long non-coding RNA (656 nucleotides) under Mus musculus (house mouse). RNAcentral describes it as "predicted gene, 36723". Lineage: Eukaryota; Metazoa; Chordata; Mammalia; Rodentia; Muridae. The record is from RNAcentral.